Molecule: long non-coding RNA, 1487 nt
Filed under: Homo sapiens (human)
Lineage: Eukaryota; Metazoa; Chordata; Mammalia; Primates; Hominidae
Description: uncharacterized LOC101928196 (LOC101928196)
Source: RNAcentral
AAUAAAGGGUUGUGUUAGACUGCUAUACCUUGAAAUAAUUUCUUAUAAGUCAUUAAUAACUGAAGUAAGCAUUAAUUGAACCUUUAAACAGUUAAACUUACAAUAAUUAUUUUGAAGAUCAUCUUGCCUUAAAAACUUCAAGAUCUUUGAGGGGAUAAUUUGCCAUCUUAGUAUUUAGAAGAACUGUGUUUGUGUCUAUAUGAGGGAGAUCAGAUUAUAAUAGAAGGAUUUGGUAAAAUGAAGAGAAAGUUUUGAAUGGGCUAAACAGGAAUUCAAGGACUUCUUAUAAUACAUUCCAGAGCUCAGCAACUCUUUUUUUAUAUUGCCUGCUGUUUGGGAUUAUAUUCAUCAUUGCUGCCUUCAGUUACAGGGCAAAAUGCUGAAUGGCAGAAGGCUGAAGAAAAGCUAAAAGCUCCGUCCUAUUGAGAAGUUCAUCACAGGGAAGACUCCACUGAAGUAAUCAGAUGCCUUUCCUGCUGCCCUGAGUCUUUAACUGUCCAAAGGGAGUCCUGAACCCAAAGCUGUUUCAGCUGCAUGCGAUUGUUAGGAUCAUUCACUCAUACCUCUUCGUUUAGGAUAGAGAACAAUCAGGCAAAGAAAGGGGAGGACUAACCCAAGGUCAGAUAAUUAGCUAAGGGCAUCAGAACCCACAGUUCAGGGUUGUUAGUACCACAUCAAGCUCCCUUGCAAAUUAGCUUCAUAAAUUCUAAGCCCACAGGCUCAGGGCUCAUCUGAAAGAGAUGGACCAGAGAGGAGGAGAUGGAGAAAAAAGUCUCCUACCACACACUGGAACCACUUUUACAGAAGUGCCUGUUGUCUCCCCUGCACCCCUGCACUCCCAACCCCAACAAUGCCAGGCAGCAAGCUGUUGCAGAAAGGAAGCAGGCUGCUGCCCCUGCAGUGUUCAGGCCUCCUCCUGGCAGGGCUCCCUCUACCUGAAUCCAUCUCAGGGAAAUGGUCAUCUCUGACUAUGCUGCACAGAGCCUGCAAAGCUAUGUUAAUAAUCUCUCUGGGCCUUAAACUGAAUAACCAAGAUUUCGCACAUGUACCAUUCACUUCCCACUUAAUAUGCACACUCAAUUUACACAGGAAGUAUGCCUAAGGCUCUUUCAAUGACUGUAUGUGACUACACAUAGGGUUUUUCUUUUAUAACAGAUUGGCAAAUGCCUGAGGUGGUAUGAGUGUGAUGUUGCUGGAAAACCUUAGUUGAAAUUCCUAGACUAUAUGAAAUCCUUUUUAAAUCUCCUUAUUCUGAAAACAUAUUUUUUUAAAAAAAAUUUAGACCACUCAUGGGAUUUAAAGUAAAAAGUACAAAUAUACUGUAUUUCGUGACUAUAAUCAAACUGGAGACAUUAUGCAAACAUAGAGCUCUUAUAUUUUCAUUCUUCUACUUUAGGUCGCAAUUGUCUAUCUCUGCAUUAUGUGCAAACCAAAAUGAGAACUGCAGGAAUAAAACACAUGGUUGUGUCCACGUUCUGAAUGUUCAA